AUUGAACGCUGGCGGCAUGCCUUACACAUGCAAGUCGAACGGUAACGGGCCUUCGGGUGCCGACGAGUGGCGAACGGGUGAGUAAUGCAUCGGAACGUACCUUUCAGUGGGGGAUAACGUAGCGAAAGUUACGCUAAUACCGCAUAUUCUGUGAGCAGGAAAGCAGGGGAUCGCAAGACCUUGCGCUGAUUGAGCGGCCGAUGUCAGAUUAGCUAGUUGGUGAGGUAAAGGCUCACCAAGGCGACGAUCUGUAGCGGGUCUGAGAGGAUGAUCCGCCACACUGGAACUGAGACACGGUCCAGACUCCUACGGGAGGCAGCAGUGGGGAAUUUUGGACAAUGGGGGCAACCCUGAUCCAGCCAUGCCGCGUGAGUGAAGAAGGCCUCGGUUGUAAA
This 395-nucleotide ribosomal RNA is filed under the name uncultured bacterium. RNAcentral describes it as "bacterial SSU rRNA". It matches the Rfam family "Bacterial small subunit ribosomal RNA", at positions 30 to 429 of the family's 1533-position model. The record is from RNAcentral.